Molecule: ribosomal RNA, 380 nt
Filed under: uncultured eukaryote
Lineage: Eukaryota
Description: partial 18S ribosomal RNA
Rfam family: Eukaryotic small subunit ribosomal RNA
Source: RNAcentral
CAAUAGCGUAUAUUAAAGUUGUUGCAGUUAAAAAGCUCGUAGUUGGAUUUGUGGCGUACGGUGUGUUCCGGGCACUUGUUGUCUGAGUAACCUGCUGUUGCCAUCCUUGGGUGGAACCUGUGUGGCAUUAGGUUGUCGUGCAGGGGAUGCCCAUCAUUUACUGUGAAAAAAUUGGAGUGUUCAAAGCAGGCUUAUGCCGUUGAAUAUAUUAGCAUGGAAUAAUGAGAUAGGACUUUUUUGCUAUUUUGUUGGUUUGCGCAAAGAGGUAAUGAUUAAUAGGGACAGUUGGGGGUAUUCGUAUUCCAUUGUCAGAGGUGAAAUUCUUGGAUUUUUGGAAGACGAACUACUGCGAAAGCAUUUACCAAGGAUGUUUUCAUUAA